CAGUUGGAACCAAUAAAUGAGGGUCUGCUCGCUCGAAUCUCGGAUCUCUUGCUGUGCCGCUGGACUUGCAGGAAUUGUUGUCAGAAGUGUUUUGACUGUAGCUGUUGUCAAACAAAUGAAGAUGAAGUUGAAAUCCUGGGACCGUUUCCUGCUCAAACUCCAGCCUGGCUGAUGAGCAGCCAGGACGAGGAGAAGGACGGGGACUCCGACCGUGGCAGCGGCGAGCCGCGGGGCGCUUCCCCGGGCAGA
Ficedula albicollis (Collared flycatcher) is the source of this 249-nucleotide long non-coding RNA. RefSeq lists it as uncharacterized. Lineage: Eukaryota; Metazoa; Chordata; Aves; Passeriformes; Muscicapidae. The transcript has 3 exons. The record is from RefSeq and is a predicted model, not a curated record.